CUUCUAGAUAUUAACGACAUUUUUGUAAGAAACUAUUGAAAUAUUUAGGCAUUGGUAUUUUUCUUUAAAAUUUUGUUGAAUUCAGUACGUAGUACUAAUCCACUGUUGGAUUUAGCUAUUCCUCUGCUAUUCAUAGACCUCAGCUCAAGAUGGAACUCUUUUUUAUAUUAGAUACGGUUAAAACAUACCCUAUUAUUGAGGAACCGGACUGUCUGUCCGUCUGUUACCAGACUAUAUCUCAUAAACCGCGAUAACUAGGCGGUUGACAUUUUUACAGGUGAUAUAUUCCUGUUGUUUUUGUUACAACAGCGAUAUAAAAAACAGGGCAAAGGUGUACCAAUAAUAGAAUACAGUUUAACAACAAAGAUUAAGUUCCUACUUAGGUUAUUAUGUAAUUCGCGGGAAUAUAGGUAAUUAUGCUCUGAAAAUACUGUUGCUAAAUGCAAUUUACACCAAACUUGUAAGAUAAUGAUGUAAUAGUCAUUGUGACAAAUAAAUUAAUCAAAGAUAUAAACCAAAAAAAUAUGUUUCUUAUCGAGCCGUUCGUAUCGAAGGGCGAUUCGCUUCAAAUGAGAAACAAUUCAGCCGUUAACGUUAUGCCUAAUUAGAUGUAAUUAUAAAAUUAUCUUUAUAAGACUAUUAAAGAGUAUUUUUAUAAUCAAACCUCUUUUUAUAACGCGAAGGACCGGGCAGCAAUCAUCAGACUAGCAGCAAGCAUAGCAGGGCCACUGAGUGAAAAUCCUUGAACGAUUCUCUGUUCUGCCUCUUGGAACCAGCCCGCGCGGUAAGCGUCUUUUUGUUAAAUAAUAUUUUUUUUCAACAAUAAACACGUACAAUCGUAAACAAGAUUAUUGGAUCACAUGACAGCUAUUACAAGUUGAAU
Long non-coding RNA from Trichoplusia ni (cabbage looper), 883 nucleotides. RefSeq lists it as uncharacterized. The record is from RefSeq and is a predicted model, not a curated record. The transcript is spliced from 2 exons. Lineage: Eukaryota; Metazoa; Arthropoda; Insecta; Lepidoptera; Noctuidae.